GCCCCGGCCCGCCCCCCUGUGGCCGGGUGGCGGUUCGCGCACACCCCCCCGAGCGCGAACCGCCCUUA
This 68-nucleotide small RNA is filed under the name Corynebacterium diphtheriae NCTC 13129. Its description in RNAcentral is "6C.2008-01-16 RNA". Lineage: Bacteria; Bacillati; Actinomycetota; Actinomycetes; Mycobacteriales; Corynebacteriaceae. The record is from RNAcentral.